CAGCCGCCGCGGUAAUACCGGCGGCCCGAGUGGCGGUCACUAUUAUUGGGCUUAAAGCGUCCGUAGCCGGGUUGGGAAGUCCUCCGGGAAAUCUGGCCGCUUAACGGUCAGAAUGCCGGAGGAUACUCCCAGCCUAGGGAGCGGGAGAGGCCGAGGGUAUUCCCGGAGUAGGGGGGAAAUCCUAUAAUCCCGGGAGGACCACCUGUGGCGAAGGCGCUCGGCUGGAACGGGUCCGACGGUGAGGGACGAAGGCCAGGGGAGCAAACCGGAUUAGAUACCCGGGUAGUCCUGGCUGUAAACGAUGCGGACUUUGUGUCGGACAAGCUAUGAGCUUGUCCGGUGCCGGAGGGAAACCGUUAAGUCCGCCGCCUGGGGAGUACGGCCGCAAGGCUGAAACUUAAAGGAAUUGGCGGG
RNAcentral lists this ribosomal RNA (414 nucleotides) under uncultured microorganism. Its description in RNAcentral is "bacterial SSU rRNA". It matches the Rfam family "Archaeal small subunit ribosomal RNA", at positions 459 to 872 of the family's 1478-position model. The record is from RNAcentral.